Molecule: ribosomal RNA, 717 nt
Filed under: Triticum aestivum (bread wheat)
Lineage: Eukaryota; Viridiplantae; Streptophyta; Magnoliopsida; Poales; Poaceae
Description: partial small subunit ribosomal RNA
Source: RNAcentral
AUGACUCUGUGGUUACACACAGGAGCAACAGCUUUCUUCCCUCGAUUUAAAACGGAUAGGGACAGACGAGUCUCUCCUCAUGGUCGUAGCAGGCCAUGCCUAUUUAAUCGCACCCGUCCGCUCUCCCCCAUCUCUCUCUCUCUCUCUCUCUCUCUCUUCUUCUUCUCCUUCUUUCUCUUCAGAUCCCCGGAAGCCCCAGACCCAGAGCAACUGACCACCAAGUUCUCGGGCAUGGACAACGACGGCGACUGGAUCACGGCGAGGUACCUCCUCUCCUCCAUCCUCGGCCGGAACCCCCUCGUCGUCGACCACGUCGACGAGGAGUCCUUCCCGGUCGACCACGCCCCCGCCGCCGCCGCCCGCGGCGGGCCGGCGGAGGCGCCGGCGUGGCAGCCGCCGCCGGCCGUGUUCGCGGCGCCGAGCGUGGCCGGCACGGUGUGCGCGGUGUGCACGGAGGAGAUCGCGGUGGCGGACCCCGUGGUGCGGCUGCCGUGCGCGCACUGGUACCACGCCGGCUGCAUCGCGCCCUGGCUCGGGAUCCGGAGCACCUGCCCCAUGUGCCGCGCCGAGCUGCCGGCCAGGGAGGAGGCCGGCGAGGCCGGCGCCGGCGUCGGCCGCGAGAAGCCCCCGCGCGCCGAGGCCGGGACCAGCGCCGCCGGCGUGCGGCGUGACGCGUCGUACGGAUACGUGGCCGCUGGGGGCGUCCUGUCCGGCUGA